This 71-nucleotide transfer RNA is filed under the name Nanobdellota archaeon. Its description in RNAcentral is "tRNA-Gly". It matches the Rfam family "tRNA". Rfam says of the family: Transfer RNA (tRNA) molecules are approximately 80 nucleotides in length. Their secondary structure includes four short double-helical elements and three loops (D, anti-codon, and T loops). Lineage: Archaea; Nanobdellati; Nanobdellota. The record is from RNAcentral.
ACGGCAGUAUUAUAGUGGCAGUAUACGACCCUCCCAAGGUUGUGACCCGGGUUCAAAUCCCGGCUGCCGUA